RNAcentral lists this ribosomal RNA (632 nucleotides) under Holtermanniella sp. L5.6. Its description in RNAcentral is "eukaryotic LSU rRNA". The stretch from base 108 to 261 matches the Rfam family "5.8S ribosomal RNA". The record is from RNAcentral. Lineage: Eukaryota; Fungi; Basidiomycota; Tremellomycetes; Holtermanniales.
GUGAAUUGAGCUGGCUUCGGCCGCUCUGAUCUAUACACACCUGUGAACUGUUGGCCUUCGGGUCUUUAAUUACAACUGUGACGAACGUAAAUUAUUAUAACAAAUAAAACUUUUAACAACGGAUCUCUUGGCUCUCGCAUCGAUGAAGAACGCAGCGAAAUGCGAUAAGUAAUGUGAAUUGCAGAAUUCAGUGAAUCAUCGAAUCUUUGAACGCACCUUGCGCCCGUUGGUAUUCCGACGGGCAUGCCUGUUUGAGUGUCGUGAACAACCUCAACCUUGAUUGGUUUUACUAAUCAAGGCUUGGACUUGGGUGUUGCUGCUGCAAAGUGGCUCGCCUUAAAACUAUUAGCUGGACUUGUCUAUGACUUGGUUCGACUCGAUGUAAUAAGUAUUCAUCGGGGACAGGGUAACACCUGGCCAAGGGCUUGAUGCCGUCUGGCUUCCUAAAAUCAUGGUUUCCUCACUAUGGAGAACGCCUACCUUUUACCUGGUGGUGGGCCCUCAAAAAUCAAGGGUAGGGAAUUUACCCCCGGCUUGAAACCUUUAAAGCCAUUAUUCAAAUUAAAGCCGGGAAGGGAAAAAAGAAAAACCUAAACCAAAGGGAAUUUCCCCCCCUAAGUUAAACCGGGCCG